Molecule: long non-coding RNA, 4049 nt
Organism: Dreissena polymorpha
Lineage: Eukaryota; Metazoa; Mollusca; Bivalvia; Myida; Dreissenidae
Exons: 2
Source: RefSeq, a predicted model, not a curated record
UAUAAUAUAUUAUAUAAUAUUUAUAAUAUUAUAUAAAAUAUAUCAUAAAAUAUAAUACAAUAUUACUUAAUAAUAUAAUAUAUAAUAUAUUAUAAUUUAAUAUUUAAUUCAAAAUGUUGUUAAUGUGACAGGAUAAAUAGAAUAAUAGGUUGGUGACGUGGAUGGAGAGUGUUUAUGUGGCUCGUCGGAGGAUCUUAUUGGGUUAGCCUUCCGCUCACCCAAUAAAUUCCUCUGACUUGCCAGAUAGCCACUCUUCAUCAACGUCACCAACCUAUUAUUCUCUAUACUCAUGCAAGUUUCUUGUUUCUCAAAACGAUUAUCAUUUUCACAAUCGUUUAAAAGAGAUAACUCAAUGCUCUUCUUUAAAAUUUUAUUUUCAAAAAAAGUAUCAGCACUGGUAUGUGUUGUACAAAAGAACCGACACUGUAAAUACUUUACAUGUAAUAGUCUUGCCUCUAUAAACUUCAAGAUUAAACUUUUCACGAAACAGGCUUUAAAGAAAUUAUAUAUGCCAUUUUAAGCUCGGCUGUUUUUGAAGAAACUUUUGUAUGCCCAAAAAUCCAAAUGUUGCUGUGUUAUAUGCUCUGGAAAUGUAUUGAAAAGUUUACUUAUUGUUAGAAUGAUACUAUUGAUUAAGUGUUAUAUCCUGAUGACCUCAUUAUUAUUGCUAUAACUGAGAACCUCUUGAUAGAAGUUAUCAUAUUGAAAACGUCCUAAUCUACGUUAAGUCAGUUGUAAUGUCUUAAUUUACGUUAUAUCUGUGAUAAUUUCUUAAUCAAUAGUAUCAUUAUAACGAUGUAUUAAUUAGUGUCAUGCUAACAUGUUUAGUCAUAUUUUAUUUAAACUUUCCCUUCUUAUACAUGUAUGACAAUCCAUUAAAACUCAUUUCAAAGUGGUUAUUACUGAAUGAUAAGACACUGGUCAUAAGGUUAUCAAACUGAUAAUAUCAAUUGAAGGUUUAUUGGCACCUUGUCAGUGAUAAUCUGUUUCGUGUUAUGACAGUAGUGUUGUUCACAUUUCAAUGUUGUACACAGUUGUCGCAGUGGUUAUUUCAGUUGCCGUCGAAGUUUAGUUGGGCUAUACUUACUUCAACCUUUUCAGAUUUCUGUGGUGACAACAAUUUUUUAUAGUUAUAUGAUAAGAUAAUUGAUAAGAUACUAUUGAUUAAGAUUCAUAUCCUGAUGACCUCUUAGUUAUUGCUAUUUCUGAGCACAUCUUGAUUGAUUUAAUCGGUAGUAGCCUCUAAAUUAAUGUUAUUUCAGUGAUAAUGUCUUUAUUCGAAGUAUUGUUAUGAUUAUAUUUUAAUCUGUGUAAUUUCAGGUAUAAACAACUCUUGGUCAUUUUUAUUCUCGCCCAAAUUGUUUGGGGGGAGCAUAUAGUCGCCGCUUCGUCUUUCCUUCCAUCCAUCCGUGCGUAUGUCCGUGCACAAUUUUUGUCUGGGCUUUUUCUCAGCAAUUAAUGACUGGAGUUUGUCCGGUAGGGACUUUCUGCAUUGCUUAACCCAUUUAUGCUGAGUGGAUUCUCCCAUCAUUCUGAAUUGGAUCAAUUUAUUUCCAAAACAAGGGAUGCCCAAGACAUUAUUUUUUUAUGCAGUAGUCAAUACAUAUCUGAGUUAUGGGCCCUUAAACUUUACCAUGGUCAUGGUGACCAUGGUUUCUCAAGAAAUUUAAUUGAAACUUUAAAUAUGUCACCCAUGAAGUCUAGCUUUGCAAGACACAAUUUUGCACUUGAUCUAACUAUUUCUUAUAUAUGUGCCCUAGUUAUAAUGUGCCCUUGCAUGUUAAAAAGUUUUGCAGGGUAAUAGUCACUAUUUUGACACAGCUCUGUUUCCAAUACCAUUUAGUUUUAAUUCCAAUUUAUUUGAAUAACUAUGGCAUUGUUGCAUACUUUCGUUUAUGUUAAAUCUGCAUAGUUUGUAACAUUUAUUCUUACUUUUGUUUUUUCAAAGAAUUUAGUCUUUUUUAGCUUGGAUGUUUUCGAAGAAAACUUGAGGUAUUGUCAUAGCCCUCUUGUCUUCCAUGUCGUCGUCUUAGUUGGGUCCGAAAACUUUUAACAUUUGCCAUAACUUUUGCAAUAUUGAAGAUAGAAACAUGAUAUAUGGCAUGCAUGUGUAUCUCAUGGAGUUGUAUAGGUCAUCCUUUAAGGUCACAGGUCAAAAAAACUUUUGAUGUCCCCCACUAUAGUAGUGGGGGACAUAUUGUUUUUGCCCUGUCUGUUGGUUGGUUGGUUUGCGCCAACUUUAACAUUUGCAAUAACUUUUGCAAUAUUGAAGAUAGGAACUUGAUAUUUGGCAUGCAUAUGUAUCUCAUGGAGCUGCACAUUUUGAGUGGUGAAAGGUCAAGGUCAAGGUCAUCCUUCAAGGUCAAAGGUCAAAUAUAUGGGUCAAAACCGCUCAUUUAAUGUACACUUUUGCAGUAUUUUUAAUAUUCAAGAUAGCAACUUGAUAUUUGGGAUGCAUGUGUAUCUCAUGGAGCUGCACAAUUUGAGUGGUGAAAGGUCAAGGUACAAGGUCAUCCUUCAAGGUCAGAUGUCAAAUAUAUGUGGCCAAAAUCGCUCAUUUUAUGAGUACUUUUGCAAUAUUGAAGAUAGCAACUUGAUAUUUGGCAUGCAUGUGUAUCUCAUAGAGCUGCACAUUUUUAGUGGUGAAAGGUCAAGGUCAAGGUCAUCCUUCAAGGUCUAAUAUAUGGGUCAAAAUUGCUCAUGUAAUGUCACUUCUGCAAUAUUGAAGCUAGCAAUUUUAUAUUUGAAAUGCAUGUGUAUCUCAUAGAGCUGCACAUUUUGAAUGGUGAAGGGUCAAGGUCAAGGUCAUUCUACAAGGUCAAACAUUAUAUAGGGGGACAUUGUGUUUCACAAACACAUCUUGUUUUCAUGUGUAUCUUAUCAAGCUUCACAUCUUGAUUGGUGAAAAGGUCAAGGUCAAUGAUGACCUUCAAGGUCAAAGGUCUAAAAAACUAAAUCCAAGCAACCACAGCCGAGCGUUGGCAUCCGCUUUACGGUGCUCUUGUAUAAAUUUACAUCUGACAUUGUUUUGAAUACAUUUAUCAUAAAUACAUUAGACACAUAUAUGAACCUCGCUUGAAAUGAAUGAAUUUUGGUUAAAAUAGAUUGUUAAUCAGGGUUCUCCCUGGCUCAAAAUUUUCCUAAGCCAAGUUAGACGUCACUUCUUUAUAUUGCUUUGGCAAAAUUCUACUUAUUUGGGAUUUUUUAUGGGUGUUAAUAAAUGAAAUGCUGUAGCCAAAUAAACUUUUCUUUAGCCAACUUGUAGUCAGUUUGUAGCCAUUAGAUUAUUAUUAGAAAUGAGAAGUGAAAUGGACAUCAAUGAUUCAAUGAUGACUACCAUGACUGUGAUAUUGUUAUUUGUAAAUAGUUUCAAUUAUUAUUUUCAUGCCCCCCUUCGAAGAAGAGGAGGUAUAUUGCUUUACUCAUGUCGGUCGGUCGGUAUGUCGGUCCGUCCACCAGGUGGUUUCCGGAUGAUAACUCAAGAACGCUUGGGGCUAGGAUCAUGAAACUUCAUAGGUACAUUGAUCAUGACUUGCAGAUGACCCCUAUUGAUUUUGAGGUCACUUGGUCAAAGGUCAAGGUCAAGGUGACCCGAAAUAGUAAAUGGUUUCCGGAUGAUAACUCAAGAAUUCAUACGCCUAGGAUCAUGAAACUUCAUGGGUAGAUUGAUCAUAACUCGCAGAUGACCCCUAUUGAUUUUGAGGUCACUAGGUCAAAGGUUAAGGUCACGGUGACCCGAAAUAGUAAAAUGGUUUCAGGAUGAUAACUCAAGAACGCAUACGCCUAGGAUCAUGAAACUUCAUGGGUAGAUUGAUAAUGACUUGCAGAUGACCCCUAUUGAUUUUGAGGUCACUAGGUCAAAGGUCAAGGUCACGGUGACCGGAAAUAGUAAAAUGGUUUUCGGAUGAUAACUAAAGAACCCAUACGCCUAGGAUCAUGAAAUUUGAUGGGUAGAUUGAUCAUGACUCGCAGAUGACCCCUAUUGAUUUUGAGGUCACUAGGUCAAAGGUCAAGGUCACGGUGACCCGAAAUAGUAAAAUGGUUUCAGG